RNAcentral lists this ribosomal RNA (497 nucleotides) under uncultured bacterium. RNAcentral describes it as "partial 16S ribosomal RNA". It matches the Rfam family "Bacterial small subunit ribosomal RNA", at positions 28 to 507 of the family's 1533-position model. The record is from RNAcentral.
GAUGAACGCUGGCGGCGUGCCUAAUACAUGCAAGUCGAGCGAACAGACGAGGAGCUUGCUCCUCUGACGUUAGCGGCGGACGGGUGAGUAACACGUGGAUAACCUACUUAUAAGACUGGGAUAACUUCGGGAAACCGGAGCUAAUACCGGAUAAUAUAUUGAACCGCAUGGUUCAAUAGUGAAAGACGGUUUUGCUGUCACUUAUAGAUGGAUCCGCGCCGCCUUAGCUAGUUGGUAAGGUAACGGCUUACCAAGGCAACGAUGCGUAGCCGACCUGAGAGGAUGAUCAGCCACACUGGAACUGAGACACGGUCCAGACUCCUACGGGAGGCAGCAGUAGGAAAUCUUCCGCAAUGGGCGAAAGCUUGACGGAGCAACGCCGCGUGAGUGAUGAAGGUCUUCGGAUCGUAAAGCUCUGUUAUUAGGGAAGAACAAAUGUGUAAGUAACUAUGCACGUCUUGACGGUACCUAAUCAGAAAGCAACGGCUAACUACGUG